UGAAGAUGCAGUGUACCCGCGGCAAGACGGAAAGACCCCGUGAACCUUUACUAUAGCUUGACACUGAACAUUGAGCCUUGAUGUGUAGGAUAGGUGGGAGGCUUUGAAGUGUGGACGCCAGUCUGCAUGGAGCCGACCUUGAAAUACCACCCUUUAAUGUUUGAUGUUCUAACGUGGACCCGUGAUCCGGGUUGCGGACAGUGUCUGGUGGGUAGUUUGACUGGGGCGGUCUCCUCCUAAAGAGUAACGGAGGAGCACGAAGGUUGGCUAAUCCUGGUCGGACAUCAGGAGGUUAGUGCAAUGGCAUAAGCCAGCUUGACUGCGAGCGUGACGGCGCGAGCAGGUGCGAAAGCAGGUCAUAGUGAUCCGGUGGUUCUGAAUGGAAGGGCCAUCGCUCAACGGAUAAAAGGUACUCCGGGGAUAACAGGCUGAUACCGCCCAAGAGUUCAUAUCGACGGCGGUGUUUGGCACCUCGAUGUCGGCUCAUCACAUCCUGGGGCUGAAGUAGGUCCCAAGGGUAUGGCUGUUCGCCAUUUAAAGUGGUACGCGAGCUGGGUUUAGAACGUCGUGAGACAGUUCGGUCCCUAUCUGCCGUGGGCGCUGGAGAACUGAGGGGGGCUGCUCCUAGUACGAGAGGACCGGAGUGGACGCAUCACUGGUGUUCGGGUUGUCAUGCCAAUGGCACUGCCCGGUAGCUAAAUGCGGAAGAGAUAAGUGCUGAAAGCAUCUAAGCACGAAACUUGCCCCGA
Molecule: ribosomal RNA, 749 nt
Filed under: Salmonella enterica
Lineage: Bacteria; Pseudomonadati; Pseudomonadota; Gammaproteobacteria; Enterobacterales; Enterobacteriaceae
Also listed under: 1 other name
Description: partial 23S ribosomal RNA
Rfam family: Bacterial large subunit ribosomal RNA
Source: RNAcentral